RNAcentral lists this ribosomal RNA (463 nucleotides) under uncultured soil bacterium. RNAcentral describes it as "bacterial SSU rRNA". It matches the Rfam family "Bacterial small subunit ribosomal RNA", at positions 26 to 495 of the family's 1533-position model. The record is from RNAcentral.
AGGACGAACGCUGGCGGCGUGCUUAACACAUGCAAGUCGAGCGGUAAGGCUCCUUCGGGAGUACACGAGCGGCGAACGGGUGAGUAACACGUGAGCAAUCUGCCCUUCUCUUCGGAAUAACCAUUGGAAACGAUGGCUAAUGCCGAAUGCGACCUCCUUUCGCAUGAUCGGAGGUGGAAAGCUCCGGCGGAGAAGGAUGAGCUCGCGGCCUAUCAGCUAGUUGGCGGGGUAACGCCCACAAGGCGACGACGGGUAGCCGGCCUGGAGAGGGUGACCGGCCACACGUGGGACUGAGACACGGCCCAGACUCCUACGGGAGGCAGCAGGUGGGAAUAGUGGACAAGUGGGCGAAAGCCUGAUCCAGCAACGCGCGUGAGGAUGGACGGUCCUUGGGUUGUAAACCCUUCGUUCGAGCGAGGGAACGAAGACGUAAAGUCGAACGUACCUGACAGAAGAAGGACCG